Molecule: ribosomal RNA, 311 nt
Filed under: uncultured eukaryote
Lineage: Eukaryota
Description: partial 18S ribosomal RNA
Rfam family: Eukaryotic small subunit ribosomal RNA
Source: RNAcentral
CCCCUAGACGUUCUGGGCUGCACGCGCGCUACAAUAAUACGCACAGCGAGUAUCACCGAGCUCGAAAGGGCAAGGUAAACAAUAGAAAAGGUACUGCAAUGGUUAUAGAUCCUUGUAAUUAUUGAUCUUCAACGAGGAAUUCCUAGUAAGUAUGUGUCAUCAUCACGCACUGAUUACGUCCCUGCCCUUUGUACACACCGCCCGUCGCUCCUACCGAUUGGGUGAGCCGAUGAAACUCUCGGAUGUAGGCUAUUCAUAGCCCGCAGAAGAGAUUUGAAUCGUAGCGCUUAGAGGAAGGAGAAGUCGUAACA